Long non-coding RNA from Pistacia vera, 356 nucleotides. RefSeq lists it as uncharacterized. The transcript is spliced from 3 exons. Lineage: Eukaryota; Viridiplantae; Streptophyta; Magnoliopsida; Sapindales; Anacardiaceae. The record is from RefSeq and is a predicted model, not a curated record.
GUGUUGAAAAUUGAUCUAUCAGAGCCGUCUGAUCUAAAUAUCAACGAGGAUACGGUGGUUUAUUCCCCCUCAGGAAAUCAAAAACCUGCUUCAAUUUAAUUGGGAGUGACAGGAACAAGAGGUCUUUUUAUUUAGGAGGGGUUGCAUUAAGUUUUUGGAGUCAUAUUAUUUGAUUUUGGUUACCAAGCAAAGACAAAUUGGAUGUAUAUGCGGUCAUGCGAUAUACAGUAUAGAUGAGCGCAAUUGAUUAUGCUUCCUCAUGUCUCUAUUCAAUCAGAUGGGCGCAUUCGAAAAUCGAACUCAGACCGUUGAGAAAAGGCUGCGGGAAAUGAUGCUAAGGCAUGAGUUUGCGAUGC